AUUGAACGCUGGCGGCAGGCCUAACACAUGCAAGUCGAGCGGAUGAAGGGAGCUUGCUCCUGGAUUCAGCGGCGGACGGGUGAGUAAUGCCUAGGAAUCUGCCUGGUAGUGGGGGAUAACGUCCGGAAACGGGCGCUAAUACCGCAUACGUCCUGAGGGAGAAAGUGGGGGAUCCUCGGACCUCACGCUAUCAGAUGAGCCUAGGUCGGAUUAGCUAGUUGGUGGGGUAAAGGCCUACCAAGGCGACGAUCCGUAACUGGUCUGAGAGGAUGAUCAGUCACACUGGAACUGAGACACGGUCCAGACUCCUACGGGAGGCAGCAGUGGGGAAUAUUGGACAAUGGGCGAAAGCCUGAUCCAGCCAUGCCGCGUGUGUGAAGAAGGUCUUCGGAUUGUAAAGCACUUUAAGUUGGGAGGAAGGGCAGUAAGUUAAUACCUUGCUGUUUUGACGUUACCAACAGAAUAAGCACCGGCUAACUUCGUA
RNAcentral lists this ribosomal RNA (484 nucleotides) under uncultured bacterium. RNAcentral's name for it is "partial 16S ribosomal RNA". It matches the Rfam family "Bacterial small subunit ribosomal RNA", at positions 30 to 507 of the family's 1533-position model. The record is from RNAcentral.